GAUCAUGGCUCAGGACGAACGCUGGCGGCGUGCCUAAUACAUGCAAGUAGAACGCUGAAGGAGGAGCUUGCUUCUCUGGAUGAGUUGCGAACGGGUGAGUAACGCGUAGGUAACCUGCCUGGUAGCGGGGGAUAACUAUUGGAAACGGUAGCUAAUACCGCAUAACAGCAGUUGUUGCAUGACAACUGUUUAAAAGGUGCAAUUGCAUCACUACCAGAUGGACCUGCGUUG
This 231-nucleotide ribosomal RNA is filed under the name uncultured bacterium. RNAcentral describes it as "partial 16S ribosomal RNA". It matches the Rfam family "Bacterial small subunit ribosomal RNA", at positions 15 to 238 of the family's 1533-position model. The record is from RNAcentral.